UACGUAGGGGGCAAGCGUUGUCCGGAAUCAUUGGGCGUAAAGCGCGUGUAGGCGGCCAGGUAAGUCCGUUCUGAAAGCCCGGGGCUCAACCCCGCGCUUGCAUUCGAUACGGGCAGGCUCGGAGUUCGGUAGGGGAGACUGGAAUCCUGGUGUAGGCGGUGAAAUGCGCAGAGUAUCAGGAGGAACACCGGUGGCGAAGGCGGUUCUCUGGACCAGCACUGACACUGAGGCACG
RNAcentral lists this ribosomal RNA (234 nucleotides) under uncultured bacterium. RNAcentral's name for it is "partial 16S ribosomal RNA". It matches the Rfam family "Bacterial small subunit ribosomal RNA", at positions 524 to 755 of the family's 1533-position model. The record is from RNAcentral.